CAGCCGCGGUAAUACAGAGGGUGCGAGCGUUAAUCGGAUUUACUGGGCGUAAAGCGUGCGUAGGCGGCUUUUUAAGUCGGAUGUGAAAUCCCUGAGCUUAACUUAGGAAUUGCAUUCGAUACUGGGAAGCUAGAGUAUGGGAGAGGAUGGUAGAAUUCCAGGUGUAGCGGUGAAAUGCGUAGAGAUCUGGAGGAAUACCGAUGGCGAAGGCAGCCAUCUGGCCUAAUACUGACGCUGAGGUACGAAAGCAUGGGGAGCAAACAGGAUUAGAUACCCCAGUAGUCCCUGUCUCUUAUACACA
This 301-nucleotide ribosomal RNA is filed under the name uncultured bacterium. RNAcentral describes it as "partial 16S ribosomal RNA". It matches the Rfam family "Bacterial small subunit ribosomal RNA", at positions 512 to 810 of the family's 1533-position model. The record is from RNAcentral.